GAGGGGUCUGGGCCGGCGGGGCCGGGGACACUGGAGGGUGGACCCCCCUGGUAAUCGUGGGCUGACCUCACCAGGGCAGCGGUCACUUCAUCGGGGGCGCUGGAGGGCUCGCAGGGAGGGACUGGGCUGCAGAGAGGGGUUUGCACCCAGGGGUGGGUGCAGGGACGUCGUGGUUCAAACCUGCGCCCCAGGUGAAGUGGGGUCUGGCCUCACAGAUGGGUGAAAGCUGGGUUCUAGGGUCAGGCGCAGGGGAGGUCACAUCCCCCUCUGUGGGAUCUCGCCAGCCCCCUGAGCCUUACAGCACGUUCAGAACCCCUGUGUUGAUGUGGGCGUUUCCUUCUUCACCGCGUGUUUUCUGGGACCUGCCACUUCACUCCUGUGUCCCCAGCUUCUCGGAAAAGGGUAAAGGCCCGAGUAACUGCUAGCUGUCUGCACUGAAUUAGGGAAGAAGAAAUGCGCUGGCGGAAGCACAGUAACCAAUAGUUACUGGUAUAUUUGAGGACCCCAUACUCCUUAGGUGACAUGGUCCUGGUUGGAGGACCAUCUCUUGCUCUGCCCUCAGCCCUGCUGGAGGCUCGCUGCUCCCUUAGCCCGUGAUGCCGGGUGAAGACUCGUCUUUGCUCAGGCUCGUUCCCAUGGCUUCACUCAUUCAUUCCCCCACACCUGCUGCCUGGCAGGUGCUGUGCCGGAAUCUGGGGCAGAACUGCAAAGGACACAGACAGAGCCGCUGUUCUCUCAGGACUUACCUGAGAUACCUGCAACUCCUCUUCCAAAGCCACAUCCAAGCUCCAACAUCUCCUUUCUUUUUUGAUUGACAUAUAUACACUAAUAUGUAUAAAAUAGAUCACUAAUAAGAA
Long non-coding RNA from Physeter macrocephalus (sperm whale), 857 nucleotides. RefSeq lists it as uncharacterized. The transcript is spliced from 3 exons. NCBI's taxonomy places the organism in Eukaryota, Metazoa, Chordata, Mammalia, Artiodactyla, Physeteridae. The record is from RefSeq and is a predicted model, not a curated record.